RNAcentral lists this ribosomal RNA (451 nucleotides) under uncultured bacterium. Its description in RNAcentral is "partial 16S ribosomal RNA". It matches the Rfam family "Bacterial small subunit ribosomal RNA", at positions 354 to 796 of the family's 1533-position model. The record is from RNAcentral.
GUGGGGAAUAUUGGACAAUGGGGGGAACCCUGAUCCAGCCAUGCCGCGUGUGUGAAGAAGGCCUUUUGGUUGUAAAGCACUUUAAGCGAGGAGGAGGCUACCGAGAUUAAUACUCUUGGAUAGUGGACGUUACUCGCAGAAUAAGCACCGGCUAACUCUGUGCCAGCAGCCGCGGUAAUACAGAGGGUGCAAGCGUUAAUCGGAUUUACUGGGCGUAAAGCGCGCGUAGGUGGCCAAUUAAGUCAAAUGUGAAAUCCCCGAGCUUAACUUGGGAAUUGCAUUCGAUACUGGUUGGCUAGAGUAUGGGAGAGGAUGGUAGAAUUCCAGGUGUAGCGGUGAAAUGCGUAGAGAUCUGGAGGAAUACCUAUGGUGAAGGCAGCCAUCUGGCCUAAUACUGACACUGAGGUGCGAAAGCAUGGGGAGCAAACAGGAUUAGAAACCCUAGUAGUCC